GGGGAAUAUUGCACAAUGGGGGAAACCCUGAUGCAGCAACGCCGCGUGAAGGAUGAAGGUUUUCGGAUUGUAAACUUCUUUAGUCAGGGACGAAUAAAUGACGGUACCCAAGGAGGAAGCCACGGCUAACUACGUGCCAGCAGCCGCGGUAAUACGUAGGUGGCAAGCGUUGUCCGGAUUUACUGGGCGUAAAGAGUAUGUAGGCGGACAUUUAAGUCAGAUGUGAAAUCCCCGGGCUUAACCUGGGAGCUGCAUUUGAUACUGGGUGUCUAGAGUGUAGGAGAGGAAAGUGGAAUUCCUAGUGUAGCGGUGAAAUGCGUAGAGAUUAGGAAGAACACCAGUGGCGAAGGCGACUUUCUGGACUAUAACUGACGCUGAGAUACGAAAGCGUGGGGAGCAAACA
Molecule: ribosomal RNA, 403 nt
Filed under: uncultured Eubacteriales bacterium
Lineage: Bacteria; Bacillati; Bacillota; Clostridia; Eubacteriales
Description: bacterial SSU rRNA
Rfam family: Bacterial small subunit ribosomal RNA
Source: RNAcentral